CCUACGGGGGGCUGCAGUGGGGAAUAUUGGACAAUGGGCGAAAGCCUGAUCCAGCCAUGCCGCGUGAGUGAUGAAGGUCUUCGGAUCGUAAAGCUCUGUGGGAAGGGACGAAAAAGCGUGACCUAAUACGUCUCGCCUUGACGGUACCUUCUUAGCAAGCACCGGCUAACUCCGUGCCAGCAGCCGCGGUAAUACGGAGGGUGCAAACGUUGCUCGGAAUUAUUGGGCGUAAAGCGCAUGUAGGCGGUCCGCUAAGUCGGAUGUGAAAGCCCUCG
Molecule: ribosomal RNA, 275 nt
Filed under: uncultured bacterium
Lineage: Bacteria
Description: partial 16S ribosomal RNA
Rfam family: Bacterial small subunit ribosomal RNA
Source: RNAcentral